Molecule: ribosomal RNA, 460 nt
Filed under: uncultured bacterium
Lineage: Bacteria
Description: partial 16S ribosomal RNA
Rfam family: Bacterial small subunit ribosomal RNA
Source: RNAcentral
CCUACGGGAGGCAGCAGUGAGGAAUAUUGGUCAAUGGACGAGAGUCUGAACCAGCCAAGUAGCGUGAAGGAUGACUGCCCUAUGGGUUGUACACUUCUUUUAUAAAGGAAUAAAACGAGGCACGUGUGCCUUUUUGCAUGUACUUUAUGAAUAAGGAUCGGCUAACUCCGUGCCAGCAGCCGCGGUAAUACGGAGGAUCCGAGCAUUAUCCGGAUUUAUUGGGUUUACAGGGAGCGUAGAUGGGUUGUUAAGUCAGUUGUGAAAGUUUGCGGAUCAACCGUAAAAUUGCAAUUGAUACUGGCAGUCUUGAGUACAGGUGAGGUAGGCGGAAUUCGUGGUGUAGCGGUGAAAUGCUUAGAUAUCACGAAGAACCCCGAUUGCGAAGGCAGCUUACUAAACUGUGACUGACAUUGAUGCUCGAAAGUGUGGGUAUCAAACAGGAUUAGAUACCCUUGUAGUC